AAAGUUUAUGAUUAAUCAAGUGGUUUUUGACUAGUGGUAAAUGGUUCACGGCUGUGAGUAUCGUUAUGGGUAUGAUUUUUCUUGGUCACUCGAAAUUUUUUAAAUGAUAAAAAAAUAUGGAUCAUGUGGACCUGAUAGUGAUUAAUCUUUGAACCUAAAAAUUUUUUGGGAUUUAUUACGGUUAUAAAAAAAAAGGUUUAUGAUCAGUGUGUAUGUUUAUUAUUCUCUACAAUAAUAACUAAUACAAACAACCUUGACAAGAGAAAUAAUUAAUUCGUAAACCCUUUCUCAAAAAAAAAGAAAUUAAUUCGAACAUCUUUUUAUCAACAAUGGAAUGGUAGUAUGGUACUUUCCUUCAAACAAAAAAAAACAAUGGAAUGGUAGCGACAACUUGCAUUUUAUCCCCCACUUCUUUUCUUCUUCUCUCUCUUUUCUUAUCGCAAGAAAUUAUUUUCUGUCAUUUACAACAUAAAAAAAAAAAGAUUUUCUGUCGAUUGCUUACUUUUUGUUUUUCAUUUCCCGACAGCUCUAUUUUUUUAUUAGAUACACA
This 550-nucleotide long non-coding RNA is filed under the name Brassica rapa (field mustard). RNAcentral describes it as "long non-coding RNA (BRAP_LNC003203)". The record is from RNAcentral. Lineage: Eukaryota; Viridiplantae; Streptophyta; Magnoliopsida; Brassicales; Brassicaceae.